This 500-nucleotide long non-coding RNA is filed under the name Homo sapiens (human). RNAcentral describes it as "HSALNT0340648". Lineage: Eukaryota; Metazoa; Chordata; Mammalia; Primates; Hominidae. The record is from RNAcentral.
CUUCAAUAGGUGAAUGGAUUAGUAAACUAGUAUUUAAACACAAUUGAAAAUUAUUCAGCAAUAAAAAAGAAUGAACUAUUGAUACGGUUAGGUUUUGUGUCUCCACCUAAAUCUCAUCUUGAAUUGUAAUCCCCAGGUGUUGAGGGAGAGACCCAGUGGGAGGUGAUUGGAUUACAGGGGCCAUUUCCCCCAUGCUGUUCUCAUGAUAAUCUGAAAGAAACGUACCAUCUAUUCUUCGAAGGCUGCAACCAGUGAGGUUUCAUCUACAUAACAAGACCACCUUUGGCGGCCAGGCCUCCUCUUCUCUCCCUCCCAUUACCUGUUUUGCCAUUAUAACCUGAUUUACCACUAUAACCUGUUUUUGCCUGUGCUCUGGACUCCCAUUCUUUCUGUAACCUCAAGAUGAUAUGUAAGCUUCUGCACCCCAUUGGUGAGUUGAGCAGUCACUCUGUGGUUCUCCCUGUGCUCACAUUAAUAAAAUCUAUAUUCCUUUUCUCCAA